AUUUUGAAGCCGCGUACGAAUCGGAGGCUCCGGAUCGGGCUUCGAAUUUGAGGCUUCGAUUUUGGCUGAAAACAGCGCCAGGCGAAGCCUCCUCAAGAGGUGGCUUCGCCAGGCUUCAUGACGUCAGAUUCGGGAUGAUAAAUCUUUUUCUUGCGGCAGCCAUUAAAAUCCUCGGUUACCGUUCAAUAAAAUUGACAAAUUUGGCUCUUUUGAUUGUGUUUUACUAUUAAUAACAACAGUCUUCACCUGAUAUAUCACCCAUGAGAAGGCGAACAAUUUGCAUCAAUGAUAUUAAGAGUUGGAAGAGUGACUUUGGUGUGAGGAAAACCACCCGGCCUAGGUUCAAGUCUAUAGGGGCAAAAGGAUACUUGAACACUGCCCAUAUCUGUCAGUUACAAGGAUCUGCAGAAAAGCAUCAAUGUGAGAAGCGUAACAUGUGCUAGCCAGUUCCGCAUCAAAGCGAAAGACCUGUUAGUUCAUUUCAGAACAAUAUAAGAUGUCACCAGUAGGCCUGGGCAACAAGUGAAGUUUACUACUCAUCUAGUGUCAAAAACAUUGUAGUCACGACUUUGACACUAGUUGUGACUAUUUUAAACUCCUAAGAUACAUUGCGGCAAGUUGUUUGCCGCAGGCCCAAUCAAGUAAAAUUUGUGCUAAAAGGAUUGAAGUUGUAGGGAAUAGGCAAGAGCGACACAAUGGGAGACUUUCCAACGCUAGGUGGCAGCAGACUUACCGGGUAAACUUCCAUUGUUUACGUAGUUAUGAGCUUGCACAUAAUUCUGCGAACAUGGCUUUACCCGGUAAGUCUGCUGCCACCUAUCGUCCUAGAAAGUUUCCUAGUCGUGACUGUUUUUUAGUAGUCAUGGUAGCACGUCGAGUAAUGUGAGUAGUUGAAAAAUGGUAUUUGUAACUCGACAAGGCAAUCAAUAGUCUCCACUUCGACACUUGUCUGUCACACUAGUCGCUCAGGCUUAGUCAUCAGUAGAGGAAAUAUCACUGGUGAUUAAGCAGAAGAAACUUCACCUGUGUCGAUAAAGAUAUAAAGCUCAAUUCUAACUCUGUAAAGUAACAUAAAGCAAACUGACCUGUCCUUAUUUGCAAUUUUUUGCUAGCAAUUAUUCUACAGCUGAAAAAUACAAUUAGAAAAAACUUGACAAUUCCGAAAUACUAACCUAACAGUUGACGAAAUAAUUAUGUUUCUUGACUUUAAAGUGGAGAUCAUCAUAAUUGCAAUGAACUUAAAAGUUGUUAAGUAACCUAACAUUUUCCCAGCCUCAUGGGAGAACACAAACAAUCAUUUAUUAGCACCGUCUUUGUAAUCUUAAAAAAAGUUAUUUAAACAAUCAAUUGCUGUAAAUUGAUACUUCUUUUGUUUAAAAGUAACUCAAUUUAUGAUAAAAUAAAGUUUUCAUUGUUGUGCAGUAUAGCUUGUAUGCAGUUUUUACUUGAUAGUCAGAGUAAUGUUAUUUUUAUUCUAAAAGAAUACUAUAGUUUUCAAAUAACAGAACAUACCUUUCGAAAUUUCCCUGCUUUCCAGUUUCAAUGCAAGGCAUGUUGUUGACAUAUAUUACAACAAAAUAAAGCUAUGUUUUCAGAACAUUUUUGGUCCGUUUCGUUGUUGAUGAAAACAACCAUCAUUUGUUGGCUUUCACUAAAAUAAGUCAUUUUACAAUCAAGUGAAGCUAAAAAGUGGGCUGCUCUAAGUUAUUGAGGUAUUUUUACAAUAUUAAACCAUCAGAAAGCAAAUAUGCGUUUGUUACAAUACAAA
Molecule: long non-coding RNA, 1768 nt
Organism: Asterias rubens (European starfish)
Lineage: Eukaryota; Metazoa; Echinodermata; Asteroidea; Forcipulatida; Asteriidae
Exons: 3
Source: RefSeq, a predicted model, not a curated record